Molecule: ribosomal RNA, 440 nt
Filed under: uncultured bacterium
Lineage: Bacteria
Description: partial 16S ribosomal RNA
Rfam family: Bacterial small subunit ribosomal RNA
Source: RNAcentral
CCUACGGGCGGCUGCAGUGGGGAAUAUUGCACAAUGGGGGAAACCCUGAUGCAGCGACGCCGCGUGAGUGAAGAAGUAAUUCGUUAUGUAAAGCUCUAUCAGCAGGGAAGAAAAUGACGGUACCUGAGUAAGAAGCCCCGGCUAACUACGUGCCCGCAGCCGCGGUAAGACGUAGGGGGCAAGCGUUAUCCGGAUUUACUGGGUGUAAAGGGAGCGUAGACGGCAGGGCAAGUCUGGAGUGAAAGGCGGGGGCUUAACGGCGGGACUGCUCUGGAAACUGGCGGGCUGGAGUGCAGGAGAGGUAAGGGUAAUUCCGAGUGUAGCGGUGAAAUGCGUAGAUAUUAGGAGGAACACCAGUGGCGAAGGCGGCUUACGGGACCGUAACUGACGUUGAGGCUCGAAAGCGUGGGGAGCAAACAGGAUUAGAUACCCGAGUAGUC